AACGAACGCUGGCGGCAGGCUUAACACAUGCAAGUCGAACGGAUCCUUCGGGAUUAGUGGCAGACGGGUGAGUAACGCGUGGGAACGUACCCUUUGCUACGGAAUAACUCAGGGAAACUUGAGCUAAUACCGUAUGUGCCCUACGGGGGAAAGAUUUAUCGGCAAAGGAUCGGCCCGCGUUGGAUUAGCUAGUUGGUGGGGUAAUGGCCUACCAAGGCGACGAUCCAUAGCUGGUCUGAGAGGAUGAUCAGCCACACUGGGACUGAGACACGGCCCAGACUCCUACGGGAGGCAGCAGUGGGGAAUAUUGGACAAUGGGCGCAAGCCUGAUCCAGCCAUGCCGCGUGAGUGAUGAAGGUCUUAGGAUUGUAAAGCUCUUUCACCGGUGAAGAUAAUGACGGUAGCCGGAGAAGAAGCCACGGCUAACUACGUG
RNAcentral lists this ribosomal RNA (433 nucleotides) under uncultured bacterium. RNAcentral's name for it is "partial 16S ribosomal RNA". It matches the Rfam family "Bacterial small subunit ribosomal RNA", at positions 29 to 507 of the family's 1533-position model. The record is from RNAcentral.